This 426-nucleotide RNase P RNA is filed under the name Planctomycetota bacterium. RNAcentral describes it as "RNase P RNA component class A". It matches the Rfam family "Bacterial RNase P class A". From Rfam's summary of the family: Ribonuclease P (RNase P) is a ubiquitous endoribonuclease, found in archaea, bacteria and eukarya as well as chloroplasts and mitochondria. Its best characterised activity is the generation of mature 5'-ends of tRNAs by cleaving the 5'-leader elements of precursor-tRNAs. Lineage: Bacteria; Pseudomonadati; Planctomycetota. The record is from RNAcentral.
CGAGCGGCUCGGACGGCCGCGUGCCCCUGCCCGGAGCUUGUCGAAGGGCAAGGCACGAGGAAAGUCCGGGCUCCACAGGGCAUGAGGGUCGCUAACGGCGACCGGCGGUUUAUUCCGCCAGGGACAGUGGCACAGAAAACAGACCGCCUGCAACGUAUCGCGGGUAAGGGUGAAAAGGUGCGGUAAGAGCGCACCGCGAGCCUGGGUGACCAGGCCGGCAGGCUAAACCCCCUCCGGAGCAAGGCCAAAUAGGGAUCGAGGCAGCCGCAAUGUGCGCGGCUGCCGCGGCGCGGCCCGCGCCGCCAGAAGAUCCGGGUAGGCUGCUUGAGCUGCACGGCAACGUGCAGCCUAGACGAAUGGCCGUCUCGCCGAUGUUCGCUUGCGGAUGUCGGUAGACAGAACCCGGCUUACAGAGCCGCUCAAAAA